CGUAAAGCGCGCGUAGGCGGCGUGAUAAGCCGGUUGUGAAAGCCCCGGGCUCAACCUGGGAACGGCAUCCGGAACUGUCAGGCUAGAGUGCAGGAGAGGAAGGUAGAAUUCCCGGUGUAGCGGUGAAAUGCGUAGAGAUCGGGAGGAAUACCAGUGGCGAAGGCGGCCUUCUGGACUGACACUGACGCUGAGGUGCGAAAGCGUGGGUAGCAAACAGGAUUAGAUACCCUGGUAGUCCACGCCGUAAACGAUGUCGACUAGCCGUUGGGGUCCUUGAGACCUUUGUGGCGCAGUUAACGCGAUAAGUCGACCGCCUGGGGAGUACGGCCGCAAGGUUAAAACUCAAAUGAAUUGACGGGGGCCCGCACAAGCGGUGGAGCAUGUGGUUUAAUUCGAUGCAACGCGAAGAACCUUACCUACCCUUGACAUCGUGCGAACUUUCCAGAGAUGGAUUGGUGCCUUCGGGAGCGCACAGACAGGUGCUGCAUGGCUGUCGUCAGCUCGUGUUGUGAAAUGUUGGGUUAAGUCCCGUAACGAGCGCAACCCUUGUCCCUAUUUGCCAGCGAUUCGGUCGGGAACUCUAGGGAGACUGCCGGUGACAAACCGGAGGAAGGUGGGGACGACGUCAAGUCAUCAUGGCCCUUACGGGUAGGGCUACACACGUGCUACAAUGGCCGGUACAAAGGGUUGCGAAGCCGCGAGGUGGAGCUAAUCCCGAAAAGCCGGUCUCAGUCCGGAUCGGAGUCUGCAACUCGACUCCGUGAAGACGGAAUCGCUAG
Molecule: ribosomal RNA, 779 nt
Filed under: uncultured bacterium
Lineage: Bacteria
Description: bacterial SSU rRNA
Rfam family: Bacterial small subunit ribosomal RNA
Source: RNAcentral